GGGGGUGUCCUGGUUUCGACGGGGAGCGUGAGCUGCCACCUGCCAUCCGAGGUUGGUCGAAGGGCCUCGUAAAAAAUCGGCCAAAAAAACAACUGCCAACGAAGACCUGGCACUCGCAGCCUAAUUAGGCUCGACGGUUCCCGGGGGACGACGCCGGUAGGCUCCUGGAGAACCGACGACAAAUCCGGCUGGGUGACGUGUGGGGCCCCUGGCGCCCGUCAUCGAGACUUUCCAGACGGCUCGGGUGAGUAGAGACUUCGUCUGCGAGUUCCGAAAGCCUUAAAUCCUCCAACGCAGAACAUGAUGGUAGACGGUGUCUGUGAUCCUCUUCGGACGCGGGUUCGAUUCCCGCCACCUCCAUUG
Molecule: transfer-messenger RNA, 363 nt
Filed under: Candidatus Rifleibacteriota bacterium
Lineage: Bacteria; Candidatus Rifleibacteriota
Also listed under: 1 other name
Rfam family: transfer-messenger RNA
About the family: Bacterial tmRNA, also known as 10Sa RNA or SsrA, is named for its dual tRNA and mRNA-like properties. Its role is to liberate the mRNA from a stalled ribosome.
Source: RNAcentral